GGAUUUGAGAGCGAUCUGGCUGUCACCCCAUUGAUCGCCAGGGUUGAUUCGGCUAAUCUGGCUGGCUAGACGGGUGUUCCCUUCCUCCUUCACUGCUCCAUGUGCGUCCCUCCUGAAGCUGCGUGCUUGGUUGAAGAGGACGACCUCCCAGAUAGGAGUACCAUUCUUCAGUCAAGGGUAUACAAUAGCUACACUCCCCUGCUAAAACUUCCGUAAGCAUAAAUAUAAAAUGGGGAACAACCGAUUAGGCUGUAGCACUGGAGUCAAGGAUCUGGAAGUUAAGUUGGAUCAUAAAUUGAACAUGAGUCAAAAAAGGAAAAUGCUAUUUUGAGUU
Molecule: small nuclear RNA, 334 nt
Filed under: Sphenodon punctatus (tuatara)
Lineage: Eukaryota; Metazoa; Chordata; Lepidosauria; Sphenodontia; Sphenodontidae
Description: 7SK RNA (ENSSPUG00000018586.1)
Rfam family: 7SK RNA
About the family: 7SK was discovered as an abundant small nuclear RNA in the mid-70s but a possible function has only recently been suggested. Two independent studies have found that 7SK RNA binds the CDK9/cyclin T complex (known as elongation factor P-TEFb).
Source: RNAcentral